Molecule: signal recognition particle RNA, 292 nt
Filed under: Candidatus Cloacimonadota bacterium
Lineage: Bacteria; Pseudomonadati; Candidatus Cloacimonadota
Description: Candidatus Cloacimonetes bacterium (marine metagenome) signal recognition particle sRNA large type
Rfam family: Bacterial large signal recognition particle RNA
About the family: The signal recognition particle (SRP) is a universally conserved ribonucleoprotein involved in the co-translational targeting of proteins to membranes.
Source: RNAcentral
GUAUGCUAAGCGGGAAGUUAGCGGUGUCCUGUAACCUGCAAUCCGCUAUAGCAGGGCUGAAUCCCUAUCUGCGGGAUUUGAUGGCUAAGUUUCUUUUUAUGAAAGUGAUGUUGUCCGAAGGUAUUAUACCUUCGGCUGGAAUGGUCAAGUCUAACGCAAUCGGACUCUGUGAAUCUUGUCAGAACCGGAAGGUAGCAGCAAUAAGCAAUCAGUCAGAUGUGCCGUUGGUAAACUUGGUUUUAGUUAACUACAUAAAAAUGCUUGGAAUAAAAUCUCAAGGAUAGGUGCAUAC